GACGAACGCUGGCGGCGUGCCUAAUACAUGCAAGUCGAACGAGAGCGACCGGUGCUUGCACUGGUCAAUCUAGUGGCGAACGGGUGAGUAACACGUGGGUAACCUGCCCAUCAGAGGGGGAUAACAUCCGGAAACGGAUGCUAAAACCGCAUAGGUCUUCGAGCCGCAUGGCUUGAAGAGGAAAAGAGGCGCAAGCUUCUGCUGAUGGAUGGACCCGCGGUGCAUUAGCUAGUUGGUGAGGUAACGGCUCACCAAGGCCGUGAUGCAUAGCCGACCUGAGAGGGUGAUCGGCCACAUUGGGACUGAGACACGGCCCAAACUCCUACGGGAGGCAGCAGUAGGGAAUCUUCCGCAAUGGACGCAAGUCUGACGGAGCAACGCCGCGUGAGUGAAGAAGGUUUUCGGAUCGUAAAAACUCUGUUGUUAGAGAAAGAGCAAAGUGCUAGAAGUAAACUGUAAGCCACC
Molecule: ribosomal RNA, 465 nt
Filed under: Granulicatella adiacens
Lineage: Bacteria; Bacillati; Bacillota; Bacilli; Lactobacillales; Carnobacteriaceae
Description: bacterial SSU rRNA
Rfam family: Bacterial small subunit ribosomal RNA
Source: RNAcentral